GAUGAACGCUGGCGGCGUGCCUAAUACAUGCAAGUCGAGCGAACGGACGAGAAGCUUGCUUCUCUGAUGUUAGCGGCGGACGGGUGAGUAACACGUGGAUAACCUACCUAUAAGACUGGGAUAACUUCGGGAAACCGGAGCUAAUACCGGAUAAUAUUUUGAACCGCAUGGUUCAAAAGUGAAAGACGGUCUUGCUGUCACUUAUAGAUGGAUCCGCGCUGCAUUAGCUAGUUGGUAAGGUAACGGCUUACCAAGGCAACGAUGCAUAGCCGACCUGAGAGGGUGAUCGGCCACACUGGAACUGAGACACGGUCCAGACUCCUACGGGAGGCAGCAGUAGGGAAUCUUCCGCAAUGGGCGAAAGCCUGACGGAGCAACGCCGCGUGAGUGAUCAAGGUCUUCGGAUCGUAAAACUCUGUUAUUAGGGAAGAACAUAUGUGUAAGUAACUGUGCACAUCUUGACGGUACCUAAUCAGAAAGCCACGGCUAACUACGUG
This 497-nucleotide ribosomal RNA is filed under the name uncultured bacterium. Its description in RNAcentral is "partial 16S ribosomal RNA". It matches the Rfam family "Bacterial small subunit ribosomal RNA", at positions 28 to 507 of the family's 1533-position model. The record is from RNAcentral.